Molecule: ribosomal RNA, 1344 nt
Filed under: uncultured bacterium
Lineage: Bacteria
Description: bacterial SSU rRNA
Rfam family: Bacterial small subunit ribosomal RNA
Source: RNAcentral
CUACAGGCUUAACACAUGCAAGUCGAGGGGCAUUAUGGUCUUAGCUUGCUAAGGCCGAUGGCGACCGGCGCACGGGUGAGUAACACGUAUCCAACCUGCCGUCUACUCUUGGACAGCCUUCUGAAAGGAAGAUUAAUACAAGAUGGCAUCAUGAGUCCGCAUGUUCACAUGAUUAAAGGUAUUCCGGUAGACGAUGGGGAUGCGUUCCAUUAGAUAGUAGGCGGGGUAACGGCCCACCUAGUCUUCGAUGGAUAGGGGUUCUGAGAGGAAGGUCCCCCACAUUGGAACUGAGACACGGUCCAAACUCCUACGGGAGGCAGCAGUGAGGAAUAUUGGUCAAUGGGCGAGAGCCUGAACCAGCCAAGUAGCGUGAAGGAUGACUGCCCUAUGGGUUGUAAACUUCUUUUAUAAAGGAAUAAAGUCGGGUAUGGAUACCCGUUUGCAUGUACUUUAUGAAUAAGGAUCGGCUAACUCCGUGCCAGCAGCCGCGGUAAUACGGAGGAUCCGAGCGUUAUCCGGAUUUAUUGGGUUUAAAGGGAGCGUAGAUGGAUGUUUAAGUCAGUUGUGAAAGUUUGCGGCUCAACCGUAAAAUUGCAGUUGAUACUGGAUAUCUUGAGUGCAGUUGAGGCAGGCGGAAUUCGUGGUGUAGCGGUGAAAUGCUUAGAUAUCACGAAGAACUCCGAUUGCGAAGGCAGCCUGCUAAGCUGCAACUGACAUUGAGGCUCGAAAGUGUGGGUAUCAAACAGGAUUAGAUACCCUGGUAGUCCACACGGUAAACGAUGAAUACUCGCUGUUUGCGAUAUACUGCAAGCGGCCAAGCGAAAGCGUUAAGUAUUCCACCUGGGGAGUACGCCGGCAACGGUGAAACUCAAAGGAAUUGACGGGGGCCCGCACAAGCGGAGGAACAUGUGGUUUAAUUCGAUGAUACGCGAGGAACCUUACCCGGGCUUAAAUUGCAGAUGAAUUACGGUGAAAGCCGUAAGCCGCAAGGCAUCUGUGAAGGUGCUGCAUGGUUGUCGUCAGCUCGUGCCGUGAGGUGUCGGCUUAAGUGCCAUAACGAGCGCAACCCUUGUUGUCAGUUACUAACAGGUUCCGCUGAGGACUCUGACAAGACUGCCAUCGUAAGAUGUGAGGAAGGUGGGGAUGACGUCAAAUCAGCACGGCCCUUACGUCCGGGGCUGCACACGUGUUACAAUGGGGGGUACAGAGGGCCGCUACCACGCGAGUGGAUGCCAGUCCCCAAAACCUCUCUCAGUUCGGACUGGAGUCUGCAACCCGACUCCACGAAGCUGGAUUCGCUAGUAAUCGCGCAUCAGCCACGGCGCGGUGAAUACGUUCCCGGGC